UGGGGAAUAUUGCACAAUGGUGGGAACUCUGAUGCAGCGACGCCGCUUGAACGAAGAAGGCUUUCGAGCCGUAAAGUUCUCUUAUAUGGGAAGAUAAUGACGGUACCAUAAGAAAAAGCCCCGGCUAACUACGUGCCAGCAGCCGCGGUAAUACGUAGGGGGCUAGCGUUGUCCGGAAUCACUGGGCGUAAAGGGUUCGCAGGCGGAAAUGCAAGACAGAUGUAAAAGGCAGUAGCUUAACUACUGUAAGCAUUUGAAACUGCAUAUCUUGAGAAGAGUACAGGUAAGUGGAAUUUUUAGUGUAGCGGUGAAAUGCGUAGAUAUUAAAAAGAAUACCGGUGGCGAAGGCGACUUACUGGGCUCAUUCUGACGCUAAGGAACGAAAGCGUGGGUAGCAAACAGG
This 403-nucleotide ribosomal RNA is filed under the name Fusobacteriota bacterium. RNAcentral's name for it is "Fusobacteria bacterium partial 16S ribosomal RNA". It matches the Rfam family "Bacterial small subunit ribosomal RNA", at positions 355 to 776 of the family's 1533-position model. Lineage: Bacteria; Fusobacteriati; Fusobacteriota. The record is from RNAcentral.